This 69-nucleotide transfer RNA is filed under the name Ictidomys tridecemlineatus (thirteen-lined ground squirrel). RNAcentral's name for it is "Spermophilus tridecemlineatus (thirteen-lined ground squirrel) tRNA". It matches the Rfam family "tRNA". Rfam says of the family: Transfer RNA (tRNA) molecules are approximately 80 nucleotides in length. Their secondary structure includes four short double-helical elements and three loops (D, anti-codon, and T loops). Further hydrogen bonds mediate the characteristic L-shaped molecular structure. tRNAs have two regions of fundamental functional importance: the anti-codon, which is responsible for specific mRNA codon recognition, and the 3' end, to which the tRNAs corresponding amino acid is attached (by aminoacyl-tRNA synthetases). tRNAs cope with the degeneracy of the genetic code in two manners: having more than one tRNA (with a specific anti-codon) for a particular amino acid; and 'wobble' base-pairing, i.e. permitting non-standard base-pairing at the 3rd anti-codon position. Lineage: Eukaryota; Metazoa; Chordata; Mammalia; Rodentia; Sciuridae. The record is from Rfam by way of RNAcentral.
GGGGUUGUGGCUCAGUGGUAGAGUUCUUGCCUAGCAUGCAUGAGGCACUGGGUUCAAUCCCCAGCACCA